GGAGAGGUGGCCGAGCGGUUUAAGGCAGCAGUCUUGAAAACUGCCGUAGUGGUAACACUACCGUGGGUUCGAAUCCCACCCUCUCCGCCA
This 90-nucleotide transfer RNA is filed under the name Rhodanobacter panaciterrae. Its description in RNAcentral is "tRNA-Ser". It matches the Rfam family "tRNA". Rfam says of the family: Transfer RNA (tRNA) molecules are approximately 80 nucleotides in length. The record is from RNAcentral. Lineage: Bacteria; Pseudomonadati; Pseudomonadota; Gammaproteobacteria; Lysobacterales; Rhodanobacteraceae. RNAcentral also lists the same sequence under 1 other name.